This 431-nucleotide ribosomal RNA is filed under the name uncultured bacterium. Its description in RNAcentral is "partial 16S ribosomal RNA". It matches the Rfam family "Bacterial small subunit ribosomal RNA", at positions 29 to 507 of the family's 1533-position model. The record is from RNAcentral.
AACGAACGCUGGCGGCAGGCUUAACACAUGCAAGUCGAGCGCCCCGCAAGGGGAGCGGCAGACGGGUGAGUAACGCGUGGGAACGUACCUUUUGGUUCGGAACAACUCCGGGAAACUGGAGCUAAUACCGGAUAAGCCCUAACGGGGAAAGAUUUAUCGCCGAAAGAUCGGCCCGCGUCUGAUUAGCUAGUUGGAGAGGUAACGGCUCACCAAGGCGACGAUCAGUAGCUGGUCUGAGAGGAUGAUCAGCCACACUGGGACUGAGACACGGCCCAGACUCCUACGGGAGGCAGCAGUGGGGAAUAUUGGACAAUGGGCGCAAGCCUGAUCCAGCCAUGCCGCGUGAGUGAUGAAGGCCUUAGGGUUGUAAAGCUCUUCUGUCCGGGAAGAUAAUGACUGUACCGGAAGAAUAAGCCCCGGCUAACUUCGUG